Molecule: non-coding RNA, 1456 nt
Filed under: Pongo abelii (Sumatran orangutan)
Lineage: Eukaryota; Metazoa; Chordata; Mammalia; Primates; Hominidae
Source: RNAcentral
UUUCUUUUCUGUUUUUUUUUUUUAACGAAGAAGUGAGUAUUUUAUUAUUUUGCUGCAAAGCUCUUGCUUCACUGUAUAAAAAUAGCACCAGUAAAUGCAAUGUAUUGCAAAAUCAAGAUAGUGUUGUUCUUCAUCUGACACUGUACAAGCAACAAAAACUUCUUCUAUCCCAGUUAUUUCCAAUGGAAAGAUCAUUAAGUAUUUCAUCCCAAAUCCAGGUAUGGACAUACACAAGUUACAAUAUUAUAUAAGGCUUAAGAAUAACAACAUUAUCUUUGAAUUAUGUAAUUUUUAUAACUAAUUUUUACCAUGGAUAAUUUCAUGAAUUCUGAAUACUAGAGCCUAGUCUAAAAAUCAUAGGAUAUUGUGAAAAAGACACGCAUUAUGUUUAUGUACAAUCAUUAGAAAGUUAAAAGGCAUCUUCUUUCAUUCGCAGUGUUAACAGUAGUUUUUUUUCCCCAUGGGUAAUGCUAAAAGUUGCUAUUCUAAGUCUUCUAUCCACCACUAAUUUAGGACAACUCUGCUGGGUUGCGUUAUUUCAUACUAGCUUAUUUAGUGGUUCCAUUUUCACUCCUCAGUAGACUUUAUGUAUUUCUCAUAUGCUUCUUCACUCAUAAGUUCAUCUAGUUAUGAAGGGUUACUCAGUGUCAUCUUGAUCAGCCAACCAUCUUCAUAACAAGAUUUGUUUACAAGUCCUGGAUUUUCUGCAAGAGCAUCAUUAAUUUCGGUUACUUCUCCUGAUAAAGGAGAAUAGAGUUCGCUAGCAGCUUUCACACUUUCCAAAGCACCAAACUCAUCUUGUUUGUUCAAUUUUGUCCCAACUUCAGGCAGACUAUAGUAAACAUCUCCCAACGCUUCCCCACAGCAGAGUGGGUCCCAUGCGCAGCAACCGUACGGCGCCCAUCCCAAGCUGCCAGGGCCUCGACACACAGGGCGCAGCAGGUGCCAGGACCGCGUGCAGACUGCAGAGCACGGCCCGCACGCUCCGCACCACUCGCAGCGCCAUGUUCCCAGCGGUGCGGGGAUAGCAGCGCUACGCGGGGAGGCGGGGCGGGGCGGGGCGGGCAGAAGUAAAUUUCUUUAUAAAUUACCCAGUCUGGGCCUGGUGUGUUGGCUCACAUGUGUAAUUCCAGAACUUUGGCAGGCCAAGGUGGAAGGAGCGCCUGGGCCCAGGGGUUCAAGACGAGCCUGGGCAACUUAGUGAGACCUGUCUCUAUAAAAAAUUUUAAAAAAUUAGCUUGGCGCGGUGACAAAUUUGGUGCAAUUUUAAGGUUUACAUUUUUUUUUUGUAGAAAUAGGAUCUUGCUAUGCAGUCCAGGCUGGUCUUGAACUCCUCACCUCAACUGAUCCUCCUGCCUUGAACCCCCAAAAUGCUGGGCUUAUAGGUGUGAGCCACUGCACCUGCUGUUUUUAAAGAUAUUGUGACAUACUAUUAUUCUAAAACCUUAUCCUUUGU